UCUAUUUCUUGUGUAUUUCCACGAGA
This 26-nucleotide small RNA is filed under the name Bombyx mori (domestic silkworm). RNAcentral's name for it is "ovarian small RNA-29552". The record is from RNAcentral. Lineage: Eukaryota; Metazoa; Arthropoda; Insecta; Lepidoptera; Bombycidae.